RNAcentral lists this ribosomal RNA (490 nucleotides) under uncultured bacterium. RNAcentral's name for it is "partial 16S ribosomal RNA". It matches the Rfam family "Bacterial small subunit ribosomal RNA", at positions 30 to 507 of the family's 1533-position model. The record is from RNAcentral.
AUUGAACGCUGGCGGCAUGCCUUACACAUGCAAGUCGAACGGCAGCAGGAUCUAGCGUGCUGGAGUGAUGGCGAGGGGCGAGUAAUUGAUUAAUACAUCGGAACUUGCCCUGUAUUGGGGGGUAACUGGUCUAAUGAUUAGCUAAUACCUCUUACGACGUGAGGGUGAGAGUGGGGGGCCUCAAGCCCUCAGGCUGUACGAUCGGCCGAUGUCUGAUUAGCUAGUUGGUGGGUUAAAGGCCCACCAAGGCGACGAUCAGUAGCUGGUCUGAGAGGACGAUCAGCCACACUGGGACUGAGACACGGCCCAGACUCCUACGGGAGGCAGCAGUGGGGAAUUUUGGACAAUGGGCGCAAGCCUGAUCCAGCAAUGCCGCGUGUGUGAAGAAGGCCUUCGGGUUGUAAAGUACUUUUGUACGGAACGAAAAGGCACCUACUAAUAUUAGGUGUGGAUGACGGUACCGGAAGAAUAAGGACCGGCUAACUACGUG